This 514-nucleotide ribosomal RNA is filed under the name uncultured bacterium. Its description in RNAcentral is "bacterial SSU rRNA". It matches the Rfam family "Bacterial small subunit ribosomal RNA", at positions 62 to 507 of the family's 1533-position model. The record is from RNAcentral.
UCGAACGGUAUAAACCUUUCGGGGUUUAGAGAGUGGCGAACGGGUGAGUAACACGUAGGUAAUCUACCCUCAAAACGGGGACAACCCAGGGAAACUUGGGGCUAAUACCGGAUGCGUGCAAACAAUGUUUUGGUCUGUUGUAAUUAUUCACGGAAGUGGAUAGUUAUGAGAGUUUCAGAGCAUAAUUUGCAUAAAAGGUGGCGUAAGCUGCCGUUUGAGGAUGAGCCUGCGUCCUAUUAGUUAGUUGGUGAGGUAAUGGCUUACCAAGGCGAUGAUAGGUAGGCGGCCUUAACGGGUGGUCGCCCACACUGGGAUUGAGAUACCGGCCCAGACUCCGUACGGGAGGCAGCAGUCGAGAAUAGUCUACAAUGGACGAAAGUCUGAUAGUGCGACGCCGCGUGAACGAAGAAUCCUUUCGGGGUGUAAAGUUCUUUUAUAUGUGAGCAGUGCUUCUUAUAUUAACAGUAUGGGGAGAGAGAUAUUAGCAUAUGAAUAAGCAACGGCUAACUCCGUG